GAGUUUGAUCCUGGCUCAGAUUGAACGUUGGCGGCAGGCCUAACACAUGCAAGUCGAGCGGAUGACGGGAGCUUGCUCCUUGAUUCAGCGGCGGACGGGUGAGUAAUGCCUGGGAAUCUGCCUGGUAGUGGGGGACAACGUUUCGAAAGGAACGCUAAUACCGCAUACGUCCUACGGGAGAAAGCAGGGGACCUUCGGGCCUUGCGCUAUCAGAUGAGCCUAGGUCGGAUUAGCUAGUUGGUGGGGUAAUGGCUCACCAAGGCGACGAUCCGUAACUGGUCUGAGAGGAUGAUCAGUCACACUGGAACUGAGACACGGUCCAGACUCCUACGGGAGGCAGCAGUGGGGAAUAUUGGACAAUGGGCGAAAGCCUGAUCCAGCCUUGCCGCGUGUGUGAAGAAGGUCUUCGGAUUGUAAAGCACUUUAAGUUGGGAGGAAGGGCAGUAAGUUAAUACCUUGCUGUUUUGACGUUACCGACAGAAUAAGCACCGGCUAACUCUGUGCCAGCCGCCGCCGUAAC
Molecule: ribosomal RNA, 520 nt
Filed under: bacterium enrichment culture clone ALO1_GLFRUDD03FYLIJ
Lineage: Bacteria
Description: bacterial SSU rRNA
Rfam family: Bacterial small subunit ribosomal RNA
Source: RNAcentral